This 3446-nucleotide ribosomal RNA is filed under the name Ipomoea nil (Japanese morning glory). RNAcentral describes it as "Eukaryotic large subunit ribosomal RNA". It matches the Rfam family "Eukaryotic large subunit ribosomal RNA". Lineage: Eukaryota; Viridiplantae; Streptophyta; Magnoliopsida; Solanales; Convolvulaceae. The record is from Rfam by way of RNAcentral.
CCACCCCAGGUCAGCGGAAUAACCCGCCUGAGUUUAAGCAUAUCAAUAAGCGUACGGAAAAAAACCUUACAAGGAUUCCUAUAACGUGCGAGCGACAACCCCCGAACGCCCAGCCUUAGAAUCGGAACGGGGGGGGCGCCCUUUCCGUUUCGAUUGUAGUCCUGCGAGAAGCGUCCUCAGCGGCGACGGCCAAGUUCCUCAUGCUAAAGGGCGCGGACGGUUUGUGAAGCCCCGUUGUGCCCGGACCCUGUCGCACCACGAGCCUGCUACGAUCGUUGUUGGAAUGCGCCCCAAUUCGGCGGUUGAAUUCCUUCAUGUGUAAUAUACGGGGAGAACUGAUAGCGAACAAGCAUACCGCGAGGAAAGAAUGAAAAACUUUGAAAAGAGAGUUCAAAGAUGUGCUUGAAAUUGUCGGAGGAAAGCGAGACGAGACCGGCAUCGCGCCCGUAGUAUGUGAAUGCAGAGCCGUGUCCGCGAUCUCUCGGGGCCAGACCACCAGAUUCGCGGCGGCAAACCCGGCUUUGAUCACGCACGACGAACGUUCGUCUCUCGCGAUCCAUGGAGCAACGCGCCGCCCCAUGAGUGCCUCGGCACCGCGCGCUCCGGUCGCUGGCUGUGGGCUCUCCAUUUCGACCCGUCUUGAAACAGGACAAAGGAGUCUAACAUGUGUGCGAGUCCAACGCGAGCUAAACCCGUACAGCGCAAGGAAGCCUAAUUGGGGGAUCCCCCUCACUCGGUGUGCGACGCCGACCGACCUUGAUCUUUUGAGAAGCGUCUCGAGUGCGAGCAUACCUUACGGGACCAAGAUGGCGUAACAGCCUGACGGGCGAAGCCAGAGUAACUCUGGGAGGCCCGCAGCUGAUACUGACGUGCCAAUAAUGUUCGUCUGACUUGGAAUAUAGCGGGCGACUUAAGAUUAAUCGAACCGUCUAGUAGCUGGUUCCCUCCGAGACUUUCCCUCACGGAUAGCUGCUGCGCUCGAGAAUUCUAUCCGUAAAGCCAAUGAUUAGAGGCCAUCGGUGCGUAACGCCCCGACCUAUUCUCAAAAUUUAAAUAGUAGACGGCCGGCGUUCGUUGUGCCGCCGCCACGAAUCAACAGAUCUCCAAGUGUCGCCAUUUUGGUUCGAAGCCGACUGCGAUCGGAUGAACGGAACCGGGUUACGUGUCCCACUGCGCGCUCAACCUAGAUCACAAAGGUAUGAUUGUCGAUUAAGAACAGCAAGGAACUCGGUCCAUGGAAAAGUCGAAUACCGCCUAAAAGGAGUGUGUACUGUAACAACCACCGCCGAAUCAAACUAGCCCCGAAAAUGGAUGGCGCUUAACGCGGACCUACCGGCCGUCGGGCCAAGAGCUAGCCCGGAGUAGGAGGGCCGCGCUCGCUCGCAAAACCUUGGCGUAGCCGCGGCACGGCACGUAGUGCCAGAUCUUGGGGUUUAAUAGCAAUAAUAUUCAAAUGAGAACUUUGAAGGCGAAGAGGGAAAGAGUCCAUAGUGAACGGACUUGCACAUGGUUAUUCGUCCUAAGCGUGGGGAAGCCCGACAGACAGCGCUUAUUGCCGUGCGCCGAAAGCAAUCGGUGCUUAAAUUGAGGGGGGUCCUGAUACCGCGACGUCGGGUGACGCAACGUUAGAUUCCGGAGACGCGCGGCUCGGAAGAUAUUCUUCUGUUUUAACAUGCUGCAACCUGGAAACGGCUCCAGCGACGGUCAGGGUCCAGCGGCUGGAGAGCACCGCCACGUCGCGGGUGUCCGUGCGCCCCCGGCAGGCCCCUUUGAAAAUCCGAAGCGAGUCGACCAUUCCGGUCGUACUCAAACCCGCAUCAUGUUCACACGUGUAACGAGCCUUCUGCCAAUGUGUAACAAUGUAGCUAAGAGGAAGUUCCGGCAAAAUGAUAUCCUAAGCUCGUGGAAAAGGAAUUGGCUCUGAGACUGGACGGGUCAAAGUCCGAACCCAGAUCGGUGAUUCGAGCGUGAACAUGCAUCGAGCGCAAUUAACCGGGCAGACGAGAACGCGUCCGCGACGAUCAUCCGGAGGGCACAGAGAACAAAAGGCGAACGGCUCUUCGGCGGCCUUCCCGGCGUCGAACACCAACUCAGAACUGCGUACGGACAAUGGGAAUCCGACUGUAAUUAACAAAGAUUUGCGAUCGGCUGCGGAUGCGUAACCAAUGUGAUUUUGCCCAUGCUCAUGAAUGCAAAGUGAAGAAAUUCAAACCAACGAGGUUCCUCAGUUAAACCGCGAGUAACUAUACUUUCUUAACGGUAGCAAAAGCCUCGUAUCUAAUAUUAGUGACGCGCCAUGAAUGACAUUUACGGAUUCCCACUGCCUGUCUAUAUCCAGCGAAACACACAAGGCGAAGGCACAACUUGGCCAAUAUCAGCGAAGGGAUAAAAACACCCUUUAGCUUGACUUCUAGUCCGACUUUGUGAUCAAUGAUGAGAGGUGUAGGAUAAGUGCGGACGAAAGCCAAGUGAAAUAACCAUAUUUUAAACGUUAAUUUUAUUAUUUCCGUUGAAUCGGAGCGGGCAAUUGCCCCACUCUUUUUGGACCCAAGGCUCCGCUUGCGGGACCGUAUCGGGCGGAAACAAGAAUUUUCAGGUGGGGAGUUUGCAUGUGGCGGCACAUCUGAUUAAACAGAUAACGCAAGGAUUCUAAGAUAGCUCAACGACGAACAGAAAUCUCUGUGAACGAAGGAAAAGCUCUUGAUUUAUUUCCAUACGAAUACGAACCUGAAAGCGUGGCCUAACGAUCCUUUAUAGACCAUCGAAUUCGAAGCUAAGAGGUGUCAUGAAAAGUUACACCGGGAUAAACGCUUUUGCAGCCAAGCGUUCAUACGACGUUGCUUUUGAUCCUCAUGCGGCUCAUUCCUAAUUCAUUGUGAAGCAAAUUUCAUCAAGUGUUGAUUGUUCACCCACCAUAGGAAGUGAGCUGGGUUAGACCUGUCGUGGAACAGGUUAGUUUUACCUACUAUGACAGUGUCGCCAAUAGUAUUCACACUAGUCGAAGAACGUUGAUUCGCACAUAUUCGUAUCUCGCUUGCGUUGAAAAGCAGCUUGCCGAUAGCUCACCGUGCGUUAGAUUAUGACUGAACGCUCUAAUUCAGAUCCGGUUAGACCGCUGCGCUCUCGCCCGUUGCCGACCCGCAUACGGCAUUUGCCCCAAGGGACGUUCGUUGGCUACCGUCGUGGCGAAAGGCCCCCCCCCACCCCCCUCCCCCCCCCCCCCCCCCCCCCCUUCCCCCCCCCCCCAUCCCCCCCCCCCCCCCCCCCCCCCCUUCCCCCCCCCCCCCCCCCCCCCCGCCCCCUGACCGCCUGAUUACCAAUUUCGAUCAGCACGAGCGAGCUAGAAUCCUUUGCCAGUACACUUAACAUACAGCGACGGGUAUUGUUAAGGUAGAGUGGCUUCUUGCCACGAUCCUCUAGAUUCAGCCCUUUUCGCUCCGAUUCUC